This 204-nucleotide ribosomal RNA is filed under the name Triticum aestivum (bread wheat). Its description in RNAcentral is "partial small subunit ribosomal RNA". The record is from RNAcentral. Lineage: Eukaryota; Viridiplantae; Streptophyta; Magnoliopsida; Poales; Poaceae.
CCGAAGUAUCUUGGUGGCAUGGGUUUCAGAGAAAUGGAGGUCUUUAACCUCGCCUUGCUUGCGCGGCAGGCAUGGAGGCUGCUGGAUGAACCCAACUCUCUUAGUGCAAGGCUUCUGAAGGCAGUUUAUUUUCCUAACAAUAGUUUUCUUGAAGCAGAACUUGGUAGCCAUCCAUAGCAAAUAUGGAGAGCCAUUGUUGAUGGG